Molecule: long non-coding RNA, 8299 nt
Filed under: Sarcophilus harrisii (Tasmanian devil)
Lineage: Eukaryota; Metazoa; Chordata; Mammalia; Dasyuromorphia; Dasyuridae
Description: lncRNA (ENSSHAG00000028596.1)
Source: RNAcentral
UUGAUAUACCUAGUCUGUUAUGCCCUGGUAUGCUCUCAAAGUCCUCCAAUGACCUACCCUAGACUUCCUUGGCAUUAUGGCCCAAAUGAAUAUGGUAGCUGUACAUAGUCACACAGCACCAAGCUACUUGAGGAAGAACGGAGAAGAGAUCUGUUAGGAUUCUUACAAAGUGCUAAGUCACUGGAAUUGAUAGGCACUUCAGGAGAUUCACAAGUCCAGGAGAUUCACAAGUUCAGUGGAGGAGAUUCACAAGUCACAGCUCCCACAAUCCCACUCUUGAAAGAGGAGUCAACCUUUGAGUUCACACCUUUAAAAGAUCAUAUAUAAGGAGCUCCCACAAGCCAACUAGAGACUUUUGGGAGAUUGAGAAGCCAGGAUUCAGUUGGGCAGAAUGAAGGAUUCAGAGAGAGCUGGAGGCUGAAGCUGGCAGAGGCAAAGAACUAGCAACAAGAGUUCUUGGAACCAAGGACAGAGAUAGACCUCUAAGAAAACUAACUGGCUAUUUUGGAAGAGACAAUAAAGGACUGAACUUUUAAAACCUGGCUGCAUUUGAGAUGAUUAUUAUUUUGAACUGAAACUAAGGCUGCCUUCAGAAGCCCCAAGAAAUCUGCUUCAGAGAAUGAUUAUAUUUUAGAGAAGAGAACACCACAGAGAUCAAAGAGGGAUAGACUAAUAUGUUCAGAAAUUUUUAUAGAAGCACUUUUUUUGUACCAAAGAAAGAGAAACAAAGUUAGUGCCCAUCAAUUGGAAGAUAGCUCAACAAAUUAUGGUAUGUGAAUAUAGUGCAAGAUUAUUGUGCUGUGAGAAAAGAUAAAUAUGACAGAUUCAGAAAAAUCUUAGACUUGUAUGAACUAAUACAGAGUGAACAGAUACAGGAGAAUGAUUACUGACAAAUGACUGAAGGGAGAUCACAGCACUGUCAGAAGUAAUGAGGAAUAAUCAGAACAUACUAUUCACAAUAAUAUGCAAACAAAACUUAGAACAUAAAAGAAAUACAGGAAUAACUUCUAAAAUAUUAGGUACUCAAGUUAACAAAAGACUAAAUAGAAAUCUUUGAUAACUCAGUCUCAAAAGAGGAAACAGAUUUAGUGCCAAGGAAAUAACAGGGGAAAAUAGUUUGUUCCCAAUAGAUUCACAAGAACAAUCUAUCAAUCUCUGGGGAAAAAUAUGGAUACUAUUAUAUACAUAUAUAUGGGACAAUUAAGUAAAAAUAUCCAAUUGGUGAUAUGGGACUAGAAUCUGUGAAGAAGACUGUAUCUGGGGAACCUCCUGAUGUUCCUCAAGUUUACUAGGCAAUGGACAAACCACACCCUCCUUCCUUCCUUAAUGCCACCUGUAAGGUCCAGGCUAGCUUUCUGGAGGAUCUCUGGACAGGCCUUGGUUUUUAGGAAGAGGAGUGGGGAAGGCAGGAGAGCCACCAUGAGGCUGGUUGAAGAGAGAGUCCAGAGUCUGCAAUCUGGAGUCUCGAGGUCUUCUUUGUAUCUGUGACAGUGAGUCUUCUUCUAUAUCUGUGUCUGAGAGACUCUUGUGUAUCUGUCUGACUUUCUCUUAAAUAUCUCAGUCUGAUUAUAUCACUACAACAACUGAGCAUGUGCCAACUGCCCAUUACAUCACCAUCAGAUUAAGGAUAUGUUUAAAGAACCAUUAUCUCACACUGAGUAGGUGCUUAACUAUAAGCACCCUGCUAUCCUGGAUUCAAGUAUAUCUUUUCUGAGUCCCCAGCCCUCUAUACAGCCAUCAGUUCUCUUAUGUGACACUGGUAUCUCAGGUUUUUCCAGCCAUUUUGAAUCCGAAGCGUGUGAGUCUGUGGCCAGAAAGACCCCCAAAUCUUUGAAUACUCCAGAAAUCCUGGAAUACAGGGGGGAAACUUGCACUUAAUUAUAUAUAAGUGAAACAGAAAAACAGAAUCAAAGACAACCCCAAAGUAGCUAACAAUGGAGAGAAAAUAAGUGGUAAAAUCAAAGACAGAUUAACAAAGUAAAAAGGAAGUAGGUUUUGGGGAGGACAGAUAGUGAGCUAAGCUUUGGACAAUGAUUAAUGUUACAGGAAUAUGAGGGAUGAAUUGGGCAAGGGAGCAAAAGCAAGAAAAUGUAUUGGGAGAUUUUUAAAAUGAUAAGGUAUUCAAUUCGGGAGUGUCUUGUUAUGGGUAGAAAUGGUGAUAAAAAGGAGGGGAUAGAUGUAAGCUUUGUGCUAGAGAUAGAUCUGAUAAACUUAUAACAAAGCAGGAUCUCCUUUAUACCUUCACCAAUGGGUGGUGCUCUAGAUUUCUUUUGAGUCUUUCAGAGAUUAAAAAAAAAGCACUAUCCCACAGGGCAAUUUCAGAACAUUUCUGAAUCUUUAGGCUUCCACUGAGCCAAAAUCUUCCCAUUUGAAACUUCUAUCUAGUUCUGCCUUCUGGAACCAAGAGAAUCAAGUCUAAUCCUCUUCCCUUCAACUUCUUAAAUGCUUUUUAUCCUACCAAAUAACUAGAAAUGGGAAUAGCUUAUUCAAAAGAACACUGAGGGAGGAAAGGAGUGCAGAGACCUCCAGGGAAUUAACCAAAGCAAGACCUGAUAUUGGUCUGUUGAGCUCUACAAGAGUUUCAUUUUACUAGGGGUCUGCCUGAAGGCCCCCAUUUCUCAUGAGCAACACUAUUCCCUCCAUUCUAUGCCAGAAGCUCUAGGGUCAGAGAGGUGGAGACCAAGCUGAGUAAGGUGGCAAGAUAUUGUGGCACCAAGGAAUGUCUGCAUGAUUGUAAGUCCCAAAUGUACCCACCACAGCUUCUAACCCCUCCAAUUAGCUGGCAUAUUUUUGUCUAGUUGUCCCUGAUGUCAUAUCACUGUGCUCUGAAAUCCCACAGUAACAUGGCCCAUCAUAAACCCUGAGAGCACAAAGCCCUGGCAAGGCUACAGAGAUUCAUAGGAAGUAUUCACAGACCACAGCAAAGCAUUUCAAGAAGAGACACAGGUUCUUACAGCGAAUACACAAGGCAAGAAAAGAAAGUAUGGAAGUACAAAGAAAAUAUACAUACCCUGACCAAGGAUAUAGCGGAAUGUACAGGGGAUGUGCAAGUUCUGCAUAGAAUGCUUCUGAGAGUGAGGUAGAGCUCUAAUGAGGAACAGUCUCUUUACAACGUAUGUGGUGGUCCUUAUAAAGAAUGCACAGAGAAUGGGAAGGCCCUGAAAUAGACGCCUAUGCCCUUAAUGGAGAAUAAAGAGGACCCUUAAGCAAGAUACUCAAAUUCUGCUAAGAAUGUACUUAUACUUCCAGUGAAUGAAUAGCCCUCUCUAAAGAAUGCAAGAAAAGACAAGGCACUUAGAAAGGUUACACCAAUUCAUGAAGGAUUUCCAGGUUAUUUAAGAAAAUGCACAAGCCCAGUAAAAGAUGAAUAGGUGCAGUAUGGAAGAUUCAUGGGGGAUACUCAGGUUCUUUCAGAAGAUGAAUGAGCCUCUUACAAAAAUUAUAGAUUGUUUCAUAGGAUAUACGGGCAUGAGAGAAGGUUCACCUUUCUGGAGUUGUGAACUGAUUCAACCAUUCUGGAGAGCAAUUUAAAACUAUGCCCAAAAAGCUCUUAAACUGGGCAUACCCUAUGAUCCAGCAGUGUUUCUACUGGGCUUGUAUCCCAAAGAGAUCUUAAAGAAGGGAAAGGGACCCACAUUUAUAAAAAUGUUUGUGGCAGCUCUUUUUCUGAUCAAUUCUGAUGGAAUGAUGGAAAUAACUCUAAUGGAAAUAGUUCUUUUCAACAAUGAGAUGAUUAAGAUCAUUUCUAAUGAUCUUGUGAUGAAGGGUGUAGAUGACACUCUACACUAUGUCAUCUACACCCAGAGAGAGGACUGUGGGAACUUAAUGUGGAUCACAACAUAGAAUUUUCUCUUUUUGUUUGCUUGCAUUUUGUUUCUUUCUCAUUUAUUCCCUUUUGAUUUGAAUUUUUCUUGUGCAUCUAGAUAAUUGUGUGUGUGUGUAUAUAUGUAUAUAUAUAUAUAUUUAUAUAUACACAUAUUUUAGAUUUAACAUAUAUUUUAACAUAUUUAACAUAUAUUGGAUUACUUGCCAUCUAGGAGAGAGGAUAGAAAAUUUGGAACACAUGGUUCUGCAAAGGUCAGUGUUAAAAAAUUAUAUAUGCAUAAAUUUUGAAAAUAAAAAGUUUUAAUAAAAAAUAAUCAGAUUGCUUUCCUAUGCUGUUGAAUAAAGAAUAAUCAUCUGCCAUAAAUAUAUUUCUUUGCUGAUGGUAGUCACUGCUAAUCCUAUUUAGUACCAAAGCUUCACCUUCACCCAGCAGUUUUUUUGUAGUAUAACCUUCAGGUGAUGCAUCACUGUGUUUCCCGAACACUUUGACUCAUCUCUCAACCAAAACCUUACUGCACCCAGCCUUUUCAGCUCUCUUCCUCCCCUCUCCUUGUCCCAAGCCAUGAGAUUUUUUUUGGGGGGGGUGAUAAUCUUUGAUCUUAAAGAAAGGAAGGAGGCAAGUACUAUUCUUUGAUGUUAAGAGAGAACACCUGUGUCACACAGAACAAAUUACCAUACUAAGAAUCCAAACCCCACUGCAGAAUAACAACUGUACUCAAAUUGUGGAUGUGAACUCAAAUUCUGUUUAGUAGUCGCCAAGUCUGGUGGUAAUCAACUGCACAGUUCUCCAGCCUGUCCCUUUCUACUCACACCACACCUACUCUAAUUCAUAAAACCCUAACCACUUUUCUCCUAAUGGAUCACCUACCAUAUAGUCUUUAUUUUCUCCAGAGCAUAAUUUAAGGAGCUGCCAAAUUAUUAUUCCUAAACUUCUGACCAUUUCCCACUCCAGAAAUUUCAUGUGGUCCCUUUUUGAUUCAAGGAUAAAAUAUAAAUUUCUCUGUUUAAUGCUUAAAACUUCACAAUUUUUAUAAUAGCUUUCUAUUUUCAAAAUACAAAGAUAGUUUUCAACAUCCACCCUUGCCAAACUUUGUGUUCCAAUUUUUCUACCUUCUUUUCUCCUAUCUCCAUCCCUUAGACAACAAGUAAUCCAAUAUAUAUUAAAUAUGUGCAAUUUUCUAAACAUAUUUCCACAUUUAUUAUGUUGCACAAGAAAAAUCAGAUCAAAGGGAAAAACAGAAAGAAACAAAAAGCAACUAAACAACAACAAAAACACGAAAAUACUGUUUUGAUCCACAUUCAGUCCUUAUAAUAAGAUUCACUAAAUGUUCAUCCCUUACCUUCUUUCCUCAAAUGUAAUAGGUUUCCUUUGCCUCUUCCUGAGAUGUAAUUUCUCUCAUUUUACCUCCACUUUUCCCUUUUUCUGAUACAAUCACCUUUCCACCUCUAGUUACUUUUUAUAUUAUAAAAAUAAAAAUCAAAUUAUACAUACAUUCUCUUUGUAUACCCAUAACAAAAAUACAGUUCUCAAGAGUUGGGUUUUUUUUUUUACCUUUUGAUAUUUCUCUUAAGUACUAUAUUUGGAGGUCAAUUUUUUUUUUGUUUAGCUUUGGUCUUUUCAUCAGAAAUAAAUGGAAUUCUCCUAUUUCAUUAAAUGUCCAUAUUAUUCCCUGGAAGAAAAUGCUCAGUUUAGUGGAGUAUUUUAUUCUUGACUGCAUUCCAAGUUCCUUUGCCUUUCAGAAUAUCAGAUUCCAGGCCCUUCUAUCCUUUAAGCUGGAAACUGCUAGAUCCUAAGUGAUCCUUAUUGUUGCUCCUGUGUAUUUGAAUUGGUUUUUUUUCUGGCUGCUUGUAAUAUUUUUUCUUUGGUGUGAUAGUUCUGAAAUUUAGCCACGAUGUUCCUUAGAGCUUUAAUUUUGGGGUCUCUUUUAGGAGGUGUUUGGUGAAUUCUUUCAAUGACUAUUUUACCUUCUGAUUCAAUGUCUUCAGGACAGUUCUCUUUAAGGAGUUCCUGAAAAAAUAGGCUCAUUUUUUCAUCAUGGUUUUCAGGGAGUCCAAUAAUCCUUAGAUUGUAUUUCUCUAGAUCUAUUUUCCAGGUCAGUUGUUUUCCCAAGUAAGUAUUUUACUUUUUUCUAUUUUUUUCAUUUUUUUGCUUUUGCUUGACUGAUUCUUGAUGUCUCAUCAAGUCAUUCAUUUCCAUUUGUUCAGUUCUGAUUUUUUGUGAAUUAUUUUCUACAUUUACUUUUUUGUAUUUGUUCAAUUGAGGUUUUAAAUGUGUUGUUUUGUUCUAUGGAUUUUUUUUUCCAUUUCACAAAUUCUGUUUUUAAGGAAUUAUUUUCCUUUUCCAUUUCACAAAUUCGGUUUUUCAGGGAGUUGUUUUCUUUUUUCCUUCAUCAAAUCUAUUUUUUAAUGAGUUAUAUACCUUUUCCAAACCCUCUUUCAAAGUUUUCCUUUUCUUUUCCCAUGUUACUUCUAGCUCUCUUUUGGGAUCCUUUUAAAUUUCUUUUAGGAGAGCCUCGUGUGAUGGGGACCAAGUUAUAUCACCUUUUGGAGCUUCAUCUAUAGACAAUCUGCUUUUAGUCUCGUCAGGGUUUAAAAUCUGUUCUUCUCUUUCACCACAGAAACCAUCUGUAGUUAGAGUCCUCUUUGCCUUUUUACUCAUUUUUUUUAAAAUUGGGAUCUGCUUUUAGGGCAAGGGAAGUUUACCAAGCUUACUCUACAGGGUGCAGUGAAGCCACUGAGGAGUGGCUGCAGCUACACUGGAUCAGUGCUGACUCAUUUGUGGUGCUGAGUGAGAGUAGUCAAGUCCCAUGAGACUCUGGUCCUUCAGGGUUCACUAUUUGCUUUGUGUAUUUAUGUUGGAUGUAUUAUAACUUCUCUACUGAUCUACUGGCUUGCAACCAGGGCAGAGUAGACAACACCAUGGUAGAGUCCUCCCCAUAGAUUCUCUACCACACAGAGUCUAUGCCUUUUCCAAGCCCUCUUGCAAAGUUUUCCUUUUCUUUUCCCAUGUUUCUUCUAGCUCUCUUUUGAGAUCCUUUUAAAUUUCUUUUAGGAGAGCCUUGUGCGAUGGGGACCAGGUUAUAUCACCUUUUGGAGCCCCACAGAGACCAAACCCUGUGUACUGACAUCCUGUGCCUGGCCACCUUUCUACACCUAACCAAAACAGACCUUUUCUGGCAAUCUUCAAAAUUAUCUUCUGCUGGUAAUUUGCUUCACUCCCAAUAUUCAUGAAUUCUGUAAUCUAGAACUAAUUCAGAGGCUGAAUUUGGUAAUUAGUUGAGGGUCCUGGGAGGAAAUCAGAAAGAAGCAUGUGUCCUCUCCUCUAUCUUGGCUCUACCCCAAAAAAAUCUGUUUUUUAAGGAGUUAAUUUCUUUUUCCAUUACACAAAUUUUAUUUUUUAAGGAGUUAUUUUUUUUCCAUUUCACAAAUUCUGUUUUUCAGAGGGUUAUUUUCUUUUUCCAUUUCACAAAUUCUGUUUUUCAGGGAGUUGUUUUCUUUUUCCAUCUUGUCAACUCUAUUUUUUAAAGAGUUAUAUGUUUCCAUUUCAUUGUCUAUUUUGUAAUGAAUUUUCUUCAGAUAAUUUCUGUUUUUUCUUUUCCAAACCCUUUAGUAAAGUUCUCAUUCUCUUUUCCCAUUUUUCUUCCAGCUCUCCUUUAAGAUCUUUUAUAAUUUCUUUUAGGAGAGCCUUAUGUGAUGGGUACCAAUUUAUAUCAUCCUUUGGGGCUUCAUCUCAAGACGAUCUGCAUUUAGUCUCCUCAGGUUUUGAAAUCUGUUCUUCUCUUUCACCAUAAAAACUACCUGUGGACAAAAUUCUUUUACUUUUUUACUCAUUUUUUUUAAAGUGGAGAUCUGCUUGUAGGGCAAGGGAGUUUGUCCAAGCUUUCUCUAUAAGCAGCAGCGGCUUCUUCUACAAGCAACAGCAGCUGUCUUUACAAACAGAAGUGACUGUGCUGACUGACUUCAGGUGAUGGGUGGGCAUGACCAGGUCUGGUGGAAUUGUGGUGCUUUGGAGCUCUCUGUUUACCUUUUGUGUUUGUGUUGGAUGUUUUAUAACUUCUCUGCUGAUUUACCAGAUUGUAUCCAGGGCAGAAUGGCCAACACUACUAUAGAUUCCUCCUGUUAGAUUCUGCAGCCCAAGGACCCCUCACUACCCCGGAUCUGUGCUGCCUGCAUUCAGAAUCUGUGGUUGCUUUGCUUGAACUUGACUCACCUCCCUCUGUGUCUGAUUGAAACCCUCUUUUCUGGAGAGCUACAAAAUUAUCUUCUGCUGGUAAUUUGUUAAACUCCCAAUAUUUGUGGAUUCUGCCAGUCCAGAACUAAUUCAGAGUCUGGAUUUGCUAAUUAAUCUGAGUGUCAUGGGAGAAGAUCAGAAAGAAACAUAUGUCCUUUCCACCAUCUUGGCUCCACCCUUGGGGAAUCAAUGUUUUAAAAAGAUCAUUAAAACAUUAAACAUUAAAAUAAUACACAAAAAAAA